GCCAGGGUGGCUCAGUCAGUUGAGCAUCUGACUUCGGCUCAGGUCAUCAUCUCAUGGUCUGUGAGUUCGAGCCCCACAUCGGGCU
RNAcentral lists this transfer RNA (85 nucleotides) under Felis catus (domestic cat). It matches the Rfam family "tRNA". From Rfam's summary of the family: Transfer RNA (tRNA) molecules are approximately 80 nucleotides in length. Their secondary structure includes four short double-helical elements and three loops (D, anti-codon, and T loops). Further hydrogen bonds mediate the characteristic L-shaped molecular structure. tRNAs have two regions of fundamental functional importance: the anti-codon, which is responsible for specific mRNA codon recognition, and the 3' end, to which the tRNAs corresponding amino acid is attached (by aminoacyl-tRNA synthetases). tRNAs cope with the degeneracy of the genetic code in two manners: having more than one tRNA (with a specific anti-codon) for a particular amino acid; and 'wobble' base-pairing, i.e. permitting non-standard base-pairing at the 3rd anti-codon position. The record is from Rfam by way of RNAcentral. Lineage: Eukaryota; Metazoa; Chordata; Mammalia; Carnivora; Felidae.